CUGGAAUGUGAUUUUUUUCCUUCCUUCCUUUCGGACAUAACAACAUUCACUCAGACUAUGGGCCAACAUGAACGUUUCCAGAAACUGCGGACUCACACACAAAUGGCUUACUUUAUAACAUAUUUGGGUUUUGGUCACUAGGAUUCCAUUCAAUGCCCCGGAAAAGCUUAAGGGUAUCUUCAAGUAGGAAAAGAAAACAAAAAUGGAACUAGACUGGAAAAAGCAAAAAGAAGAGAGUGAUAUAGAUCUAAGCCAAGAAAGCACCAUGGAUCUGCAGGAUGACCAUCAACAUAUGGAUGAAAUCUCAGAAAAGGAAUUGGAAAUGGUCCUGUCAAAUCCAGACAUUAGAGAGGAGAAGAAUCUUUUGAACCAGUUCCGGAAGAUGGUGAAGGAGCUUCAGGCUCGAACAGUGGAGUUGGAAGAAGAGCUGGAAGCUGAAAAAACAACCCAAGCCAAGGUGGAAAAGCAGAGGAGUGAUCUGGCUCAUGAGUUAGAGGAGAUGAACAAGCAGCUGGAAGAGGCUCGGGGCACCAGUCUGGCCCAGUUAGAAAUCAAUAAGAAGAGGGAGGCUGAGUUUGUGAGGCUGCGAAGAGACCUGGAUGAGGCCACUUUUCACUUCGAUUCCACUGCUGCCGCUAUUAGGAAGAAACACGAAGACAGUCUGGAGGAGCUGAAGGGGCAAGUGGAUAACCUGCAGUGGGUCAGGCAGAGCUUGGAGAAAGAAAAGAGCGAGUUGAAACUAGAAGUGGAGGGCCUGCUGAAUAAUGUGGAGAAGAUAGCUAAAGCAAAGUCAAAGGCUGAGAAGCUCUGUAGACUGUUUGAAAGUCAACUUAGUGAAACUAAUACUAGACUUGAAGAGAUGACCAAGUUGAUAAAUGAUGUUACCACCCAGAAGUCAAAGCUUGAGAGUGAGAAAGAUGAAUUUACAAGAAAACUAGAAGAGAAAGAGUCUCUGAUAAACCAACUUUCCAGAGGAACGAAUAACUUUACUCAACAGAUUGAAGAAAUGAGAAGAGUGCUGGAACAAGAAACUGAAUCCAAGAAACUCCUUGCACAUGCCCUGCAAUUAGCAAAACGUGAUUACGACCUCCUGAAGGGACAAUAUAGAGAAGAACAAGAAGCCAAGACCAAGUUGCUAUGGGCCUUGACCAAAGGACGUGCAGAAGUGGUACAAUGGAGAACUCACUAUGAAUCACAUACUCUCCAGAGGAAAGAAGAUUUUGAGGAAGCCAAGAAGAAGCUGGCGUCCCGCCUGCAGGAGGCUGGAGAGGCCAUCCAGGAAGCCAAUGCCAAAAGCACUUCGUUGGAGAAGACGAAGCAACGUCUCCAGUUGGAACUGGAGGAUGUUGUGUCCGACCUGGAGAAGGUCCACUCUACAGCGGCCAUCCUGGAUGAGAAGCAGAAGAACUUUGACAAAAUCCUCACAGACUGGAAGCAGAAAUACGAGGAUUCUCACGCCGACCUUGAAGCCUCCCAGAUGGAGGCACGAAACAUUAGUGAGGAGCUGUUUCAGCUCAAGCAAGCUUAUGAAGAGGUCAUAGUGAACCAGGAGACUCUGAAAAGGGAAAACAAGAACCUCCACGAAGAAAUUUCUGAUCUGACAGAACAGAUUAUGGAAGGAAACAAGAACCUGCAUGAGUUGGAAAAAGUCAAAAGACUGGCUGAACAGGAAAAAUCAGAGGCCCAGGUGGCCCUGGAAGAAGCUGAGGGAGUCCUGGAACGUGAAGAGAGCAAAAUCCUUCAUUUCCAGUUUGAGGUCUUGGAGGCCAAAGUAGAACUUGAAAGGAAACUUGUAGAGAAAGAAGAAGAAAUUGAAAACUUGAGGAGAGACCAGCAGCGCACCAUUGAUUCUCUGCAGUCCACUUUGCACUCGGAAGCCAAGAGUCAAGCUGAAGCCUCUCGGCUAAAGAAAAAGAUGGAAGGGGACCUCAAUGAGAUGGAGUUACAGCUCAGCCAUGCUAACCGACAGACAUCUGAGGCCUCCAAAUCUCUGAACACCCUUCACAUGCAAAUCAAGCAUCUACAAGUGCAGGUAGAUGAAACUACACGCCACAAUGAUAGUCUGAAGGAGGAGGUGAUGGUGGCCGAGAGGCAGCAUGCCAUUCUGCAGUCAGAAGUGGAGGAAUUACGUGCUUUGCAGGAACAGACGGAACGUGGACGGAGACUGGCUGAACAAGAGCUUCUAGAAGCCACUGAAAAACUGAACAUGCUACACACUCAAAACACAAGCCUUCUCUCUCUGAAGAAAAAAUUGGAGACUGAUAUUGCUUGUAUGAAGAAAGAAUUAGAAAAUGCAACAGAAGAACGUCGUAGUGCUGAAGAAAAAGCUAAGAAGUCAAGCACUGAUGUAAAGAAUUGGGCAACAUUGUUGACGGAGAGUUUGAAGAAGGAACAGUACACUUGUUCUCACUUGGAAAGGAUAAGAAACAACAUGGAACAGACUAUUGUAGACUUACAGAAAAGGCUAGAAGAUGCUGAGCAGAGUACUUUAAAGGGGGGCAGUAAGCAGAUCCAGAAACUGGAAUCCAGGAUCCGUGAACUAGAAUGUAAACUAGAAAGUGAAGUAAGAAGGAGUUCUGAGGCCCAGAAUGGAGCCCGAAAAUUUGAGACAUCCAUCAAGGAAUUGACUUUUCAGGCAGAGGAAGACAAGAAAAACCUAAAUAGGAUGCAGAACUUGAUAGAUAGGUUGCAGCUAAAAGUAAAAAGUUACAAACACCAAGUAGAGGCAGUGGAGGCACAAGCUAAUCAAUAUCUGUACCAGUUUAAGACUCAGCAGCGUGAGCUGGAUGAUGCAAAGGAAAGAGCGCAGAUGGCUGAAUCACAAGCCAACAAACUCAGGGCGAAAGCAAGAGAGAUUGGGAAAAAGAUCCUACACAGUUCUGGUCUUUUCAUCAGAAAUAUUUAGCUGUCCUCUUAAAAGUCUUGGAGCCACUGUAGGAUUAUAGUCAGCUUUUACAGGCUCUGGGAUUAUACUGAUAAGAAUCUCUUAAAAUCAACGGAAGACCAAGAGAACAGACCGCCAUCUCUAAAUGGCGAACUAUGAAUUUCAUUCAACCAUGGGAUCUGGAGAUGCUGGCAUUGAAUGGCACACAUGGCCGGCAUGAAACAUGAUCUACAGACCCAAAGCAAGACACAAUAUUCUCAGAAGUGCCUGGAAGAACCUGUAGUGCCUGUACUGUUAGCCUUUCAGCCUUGUCUGUCUGUGAUGAUAUUCCUUCAAUAAAUCAUACUAGGAAAUAUGA
This is a non-coding RNA of Monodelphis domestica (gray short-tailed opossum), 3242 nucleotides long. Lineage: Eukaryota; Metazoa; Chordata; Mammalia; Didelphimorphia; Didelphidae. The record is from RefSeq and is a predicted model, not a curated record.